UUACUCAGUGAGUGCAAGAGGUUUGUUUGAAACAGACCGCAAUGGAGAGAUCAGCGCCCAGGGAAGCGAGGGAACAGCAGGCUCCUUCCAGCAGCACAUCGGGAUGGGAGCCUGGGACACAAAGGGGGCUCCGAGACCCGGAUUGAUUCGGGGCAAGUACUCAAAGGACCAAGACAAUGUAAUAUUCCCUCGGUAUAGAGCCAAGUGUGACCAGCUGCUUCGAACAAACAGCAGAUAUGAAUUGACUCUCAACAUCACUUAUCACAGCUGAGGAUA
This is a non-coding RNA of Chiloscyllium plagiosum (whitespotted bambooshark), 276 nucleotides long. The record is from RefSeq and is a predicted model, not a curated record. Lineage: Eukaryota; Metazoa; Chordata; Chondrichthyes; Orectolobiformes; Hemiscylliidae.